GAAUUGUCUUUGAAGCUGAGCUGUACAGAGUUUAGAUUAUAUCCUGAGGCUAUUGGGGAACCACUGGAUUUUUUUUUUCCAAAGCAUCGUAGUGAUGUAGAAAGUCAGAUUUAACAAACUGUAGGUUCAGUUUGUCUUUUUUUGUUUAGAUUGUCACCUGACCUAACAUCUUUUUUUCCUCCUUCUUCUCUCCAAAGCCUCUCAGUACAUAGUUGUAUAUUCUAGUUGUGGGUCCUUCUGGUUGUGCUAUGUGGGACACCACCUCAGCAUGGCCUGAUGAGCAGUGCCACUCUGCGCCCAGAUCGGAACUGGUGAAACCCCAGGCUGCUGAAGCGGAGCCCGCCAACUCAACCACUUGGCCACGGGGCCAGCCCCUGGUUCAGUCUGUCCUAUGUAAGCUGCUCUCAAUUACUACCUUUGAGCCUCAGGGACUUCCUGUGUCUCUGGAAGUGUUACGGUGGUUAAUUCUUUUAGAAAGAUCUGGAAAGGUUGCCUGGAGAAAACUGUUUUAACCAGGCUUUGAAACAAGGAUAGAGAUUUGACAGGCUGAUACAGGGAGGGGCAUUCCUUGUUGAAACAAAGAUCCAAGUGUUUUAGCAGUCCAUUAGGAGAAAUAACCCAUUUUCUUUUACUCUCCUGGGAAUUGAGUGGGAAAAAAAAAAAAAAAAAAAGUAACUGCCUUGAGGUUUUGAAACUAGUGUUGGACCCAGGAUUCUAAACCUAGUCUAACUCAAAGGAGCUCCUCACAUCCAGCCUAACAAAAUAAAGUGUGAGACCCCUGUUUGCUGUUUCCCAUCCCCUGUUCUUCCAAAGCACCUCAUCAUUCCUCCUUGACUCUUCUGUUGUCGAGAGUAAAUAGCCCGUUUUCAACUGCUGUUUCUGAAUUGGAGCUCAAGAUUACCCAGUAGGACUGAUUUCCAUUUUAUGAGCUUAACUGAAGUGUCUUAGUGGCCUAUGCUACUUGAGCUAUACCCUACUAAAUCAUGUACUGAUUUUUGGUUUUGUUUUUUGUCUCCCCUACCCCCAGUAAGUGUGCUAAAGUGACUAGACAUCAAUAUGAAUAAAAAUGAACCAUUUACCUCGCCAGACACAGAACAUGGACGAUAGGUCUAAAGGGCCUGACGCGGCCUGUCCAGCAUGCAUUGUACAUCUGCUUGAAACAGUUACUAUGACCCAAAGACAAGAAUGAUGCCUUUAAAGAUAGGGAUGUGGCUUCCCCACGUAUCAGCAUUUCUUUAAGGAUAAGCAUCUUUUCCUGGAAACUAAGGAUUGAUUACUGACCUGCUGAGCUCACCUUGUGACCACUGACCUGCUGACCACCGACCUGCUGUGCCAGCUAAGCAUCUUGGGACAAUUGUAAAAGGGACAUUCCUGUCAUAUGUGAGGUAUGCUCUUUGUUCCAAGACAGUGUAAAACUACUCUGUUCACCCCAGUUUUUGGUUCCUUUCCUUCCUCUGGGAAGGAAGGCCCCAAGCUAUGUGGUCCUCAGAUCUGGUUCAGAAUAAACUCACCCAAUUUUGAUUUAUAGAUUGGUUAUGGAUUAUCUGCAUCGACACAGAUAAAUGCAAUUCUUAACUGUAUGAUGAUGAAA
Long non-coding RNA from Equus asinus (donkey), 1591 nucleotides. NCBI's taxonomy places the organism in Eukaryota, Metazoa, Chordata, Mammalia, Perissodactyla, Equidae. The record is from Ensembl.